This 495-nucleotide ribosomal RNA is filed under the name uncultured bacterium. RNAcentral describes it as "partial 16S ribosomal RNA". It matches the Rfam family "Bacterial small subunit ribosomal RNA", at positions 28 to 507 of the family's 1533-position model. The record is from RNAcentral.
GACGAACGCUGGCGGCGUGCCUAAUACAUGCAAGUAGAACGCUGAAGGAGGAGCUUGCUUCUCUGGAUGAGUUGCGAACGGGUGAGUAACGCGUAGGUAACCUGCCUGGUAGCGGGGGAUAACUAUUGGAAACGAUAGCUAAUACCGCAUAAGAGUAGAUGUUGCAUGACAUUUGCUUAAAAGGUGCAAUUGCAUCACUACCAGAUGGACCUGCGUUGUAUUAGCUAGUUGGUGAGGUAACGGCUCACCAAGGCAACGAUACAUAGCCGACCUGAGAGGGUGAUCGGCCACACUGAGACUGAGACACGGCCCAGACUCCUACGGGAGGCAGCAGUAGGGAAUCUUCGGCAAGGGACGGAAGUCUGACCGAGCAACGCCGCGUGAGUGAAGAAGGUUUUCGGAUCGUAAAGCUCUGUUGUAAGAGAAGAACGCGUGUGAGAGUGGAAAGUUCACACUGUGACGGUAUCUGACCAGAAAGGGACGGCUAACUACGUG